GCCAGGUGCGGUGGCUCACACCUAUAAUUCCAGCAACCUGGGAGGCUGAGGCAGGGGGAUUGCAAGUUCAAAGCCAGCUUCAGCAAUUUAGUAAGACCCUGUCUCAA
RNAcentral lists this small RNA (107 nucleotides) under Marmota monax (woodchuck). The record is from RNAcentral. Lineage: Eukaryota; Metazoa; Chordata; Mammalia; Rodentia; Sciuridae.